RNAcentral lists this unclassified non-coding RNA (1806 nucleotides) under Hevea brasiliensis (rubber tree). The record is from RNAcentral. Lineage: Eukaryota; Viridiplantae; Streptophyta; Magnoliopsida; Malpighiales; Euphorbiaceae.
ACAACAAUAAUAAUAAUAAUAAUAGUAACUUAAAUAGUGUACAAAUUAAAAAUUAAGAAAGAUACCUUUUUUUUUAUGAUUAAAAAUGAAAAUUAUGAGCUUUAAUCCUGAAUCUUGUAUUCUUUCCUUAGCGAGGAACAACGAAGGUGUUUGGAUCUUCAUCGUUUAUCCAUCCAUACUUCUCCAUGAAUGGGUUGGCUAUUGUCUUUGGUGGGUAGUCAUCAACACAGUCUCUCCACACAUUACAAUCUCCCAAGUCUCUCACCACCUCCCACAAACAGCUGUUGCAUUUAAAGCCUGCACCAAAACUUAUCAUCAAAAUCCUAUCUCCUUUCUUCAGCCUCAUCUUGGCCUCCAUGUACCCCAACACAUACCAAAGACUACUAGCUGAUGUGUUACCAAAUCUAUGUAGAGUCAUUCUUGCUGGCUCCAAAUCAUACUCAGAUAGAUCAAGAUUCACACCAAUUCCAUCUAUCACCGCUUUCCCACCAGUGUGGAUGCAGAAGUGAUCAACUCCAGUCUUGAAGUUAAUCGCUGCUCUAGUACUCGUCCCUCCUCCUCCUCCUUUACUGCUGGAACCUUGAUUCCAUUUUUUUAUGAAGGAAACUAUCAUAAAUCUGAGUAAUUCCCUUAUAGGCAAGAUCCUAGGGGUUAUUUCCCUAAGGUUGUCCACCAAAGCUCUUGUAGCUGCCUUUGGGAGAGUCUUUCCUAGGUGAAACCCUAGGCGGCCUUGAUCGUCCUCUUUUUGGAUGCAACAAUCAUAAGACUCAUCUCUAGCCCCAUGGUGUGUCCUCACUAGACAUUUCAAUUUGAACAUGGUUCGGUGCUGUAAUGCCUUUUUGUUGGUCAAAAGGAUUGCACACCCACCAGAACGGAACAAACAAUUUGCAAGAAUCAUCGAUCUAUCGUUCCCAGAGUACCAAUUGGGGCUCAAAGACUCUGAGGUGACCACAAGAGCAUACAAAUUCUUGUGAGUCUUGAAAAUGUUCUGAGCAAUGUUGAUAGAUAUAAGGCUGGCACUGCAGCCCAUCCCAGUGAGGUUGUAUACCUUAAUAUCUUCCCUCAUUUGGUAGUGAUUUAUGAUCCUAGCUGAUAAAGAAGGCAUCACAGCAAGCAUCGAGACAUUAACCACAAGAACAUCGAUUUCUUGAGGAGAUACGCCUGUUCUGGCCAAGAGCUUUCCAAUGCUAUCUUUAAAAAACUCCUCCAUCUCCAAGAUCCCAUCUUCAUAUGUAGGGUUUUCUUCUCGGCCGGCGAAAACCAUCCUCGGAGCAUAGGUUUGCUCUCCAAUGCCGGAGCUCACAAUGGCUUUCAAGAGAAACUUGUACUCGUUGAGACCAAGAUGCCUGUUCCUCUUAAUCACCUCCCCACAAAACUCAGUGUCAAGCUUCCUAUCAUCGGUUGGUUUGAAGCACUCAUAGUCUAGUAUAUAGCAUUCUUGGUCUCUUUUCGCAUCGACCCACCUCCACAGCAAUAAGAGGGGAUACAAGAUCAAGAAUGCAUACACUAGCAUAAGCACAUCCAUUAGAGAAUUAAAGAAAGAAAGAAAGAGGAAGAAAGAAGGGACUAGCUAUAGGAGAAAGAGAGAGAGAGAAAGGAGAAGUUGGGUGGUUAUGUUUUGUUUAGGAGUAAAACUUUGUUAUACGAGAAUCAUCAAAUGAAAGACUUAUAAAGAGACGGGUUGUGCGUAAGCUGUAUAUGCGAACAUGCUUAAGAAAUAUUUCCAUCGCUCAACUCCCACCGACUCAUUUGUGUGUAACUUUCGCAUCAGUCUUCAUGACAAAUUCAACUCUUGUCACACAUGGG